This 1000-nucleotide long non-coding RNA is filed under the name Callithrix jacchus (white-tufted-ear marmoset). RNAcentral's name for it is "lncRNA (ENSCJAG00000075930.1)". The record is from RNAcentral. Lineage: Eukaryota; Metazoa; Chordata; Mammalia; Primates; Cebidae.
UCCACAGUCUCUACAAGUGGCACCCUAUCCCCAUCCCACUAGACAGCCUGUACUCUUGAUUCACCAGCGGAGUUAGAAUACUUGGAUCUGAAUGUCCAGGUUGUAAGACCACAGGUGAGUCAUGUGAUAUUUUAAGCCUCAGUUUCUUCCUCUGUAAAAUAAUACAAAUAGAACCUGCCUCUUAAGGUAAAGUGCUUUUGCAAGUGCCUGGCACAUUAAACACAUGCGACAAAGAGCUGGCAGUAUUAUUCACCCGUGGCACACUCAGGGAUGCUGGGGCCUGCUUGCGGGCAGUCUUGGAGACAGUUCCUAUAGAAAUAUUUCUAGGAACUCUUGGAAAUAAUUUGUUAAAGUUUUUUGUUUGGAAACUUGAGGCGUUUUUGGAGUCUCCAAAAUGAAAGGUUGUGUUGAAUAGCAGCAGCUAGUGCAAACCUGAAGCUGAAACUGGGUGAGUUUUCAUGAGUUCAAGUGGACAACUUCCUUUCUUUUCUGUUAGCUUUAUUAUUGCCAUCCUAUAGAAAGGAGUGAACCUGGACAUUGACUUCUCGAAUGUGAUUUAACCAGGUUACCCUUGUGACCUGGACUGGGUUUUCUAUGCAGAAUUCCAUAUCUCUGCUGCUGUGGGUGUUGGAGCCAGAAGGAAUAGGGCAUGUCCCUGCAAACCCCAUUGGCUGCUUUCUUGUGCCACUCAAGUUUAAAAAGGCACAUUACCUGUGUCCCUUUGGGGCCUGGGAAGAGGGUUCCUGGAAAUGACGGUGAAAACGGAAUCCGCACUUGUUCCAGGUUUUAUCAUGAAUUACAAUGUGCUUCAAAUAUCAGCCUAACCAACCCAGCUUCCCAGCUAAUUCCAAAGGGAUUAACUCUUUCAGUUCAAGGGGGCUCAAACUCUGAGCUAGCAGAAGUGUGUAUUCAUUCUAAAAUUGGAACAGAACAGGAUAAAACAGACUCUGAGUUUUCCUUAGAGCUUGACUCUUUGCUGUUUCAAAAUCUCUGCUUCUGA